Molecule: ribosomal RNA, 406 nt
Filed under: uncultured bacterium
Lineage: Bacteria
Description: partial 16S ribosomal RNA
Rfam family: Bacterial small subunit ribosomal RNA
Source: RNAcentral
AUUGAACGCUGGCGGCAGGCCUACCACAUGCAAGUCGAGCGAGCCGCGGCCGGGGGAGUAAUGUCUGGGAAAAUGCCUGAUGUAGAGGGAUAAAUACUGGAUACGGUAGCUAAUACCGCAUCCAAUAAGACGUGCCCAGAUGGGAUGAUCGUGUAGGUGGGGUAACGGAUCACCUAGGCGACGCUCCCUAGCUGGGCUGAGAGGAUGACCAGCCACACUGGAACGGAGACACGGGCCAGACUCCUACGGGAGGCAGCAGUGGUGAAGAUUGCACAAUGGGCGCAAGCCUGAUGCAGCCAUGCCGCGUGUGUGAAGAAGGCCGUCGGGUUGUAAAGCACUUUCAGCGGGGAGGCGUUACCCGCAGAAGAAGCACCGGCUAACUCCGUGCCAGCAGCCGCGGUAAUUC